RNAcentral lists this ribosomal RNA (467 nucleotides) under uncultured bacterium. Its description in RNAcentral is "partial 16S ribosomal RNA". It matches the Rfam family "Bacterial small subunit ribosomal RNA", at positions 28 to 506 of the family's 1533-position model. The record is from RNAcentral.
GACGAACGCUGGCGGCGUGCUUAACACAUGCAAGUCGAACGGAAAGGCCCUGCUUUUGUGGGGUGCUCGAGUGGCGAACGGGUGAGUAACACGUGAGUAACCUGCCCUUGACUUUGGGAUAACUUCAGGAAACUGGGGCUAAUACCGGAUAGGAGCUCCUGCUGCAUGGUGGGGGUUGGAAAGUUUCGGCGGUUGGGGAUGGACUCGCGGCUUAUCAGCUUGUUGGUGGGGUAGUGGCUUACCAAGGCUUUGACGGGUAGCCGGCCUGAGAGGGCGACCGGCCACAUUGGGACUGAGAUACGGCCCAGACUCCUACGGGAGGCAGCAGUGGGGAAUAUUGCACAAUGGGCGGAAGCCUGAUGCAGCAACGCCGCGUGCGGGAUGACGGCCUUCGGGUUGUAAACCGCUUUCGCCUGUGACGAAGCGUGAGUGACGGUAAUGGGGAAAGAAGCACCGGCUAACUACGU